CAGUAGCCGCGGUAAUACGUAGGCGGCAAGCGUUGUCCGGAAUUAUUGGGCGUAAAGCGUGCGCAGGCGGUUGUGUAAGACAGGAGUGAAAUCCCCGGGCUUAACCUGGGAACUGCGCUUGUGACUGCACAGCUAGAGUAUGGCAGAGGGGGGUGGAAUUCCACGUGUAGCAGUGAAAUGCGUAGAGAUGUGGAGGAACACCGAUGGCGAAGGCAGCCCCCUGGGCCAACACUGACGCUCAUGCACGAAAGCGUGGGGAGCAAACAGGAUUAGAUACCCCCGUAGUCCCUGUCUCUUAUAC
This 301-nucleotide ribosomal RNA is filed under the name uncultured bacterium. RNAcentral describes it as "partial 16S ribosomal RNA". It matches the Rfam family "Bacterial small subunit ribosomal RNA", at positions 509 to 807 of the family's 1533-position model. The record is from RNAcentral.